Molecule: long non-coding RNA, 1168 nt
Organism: Vigna angularis (adzuki bean)
Lineage: Eukaryota; Viridiplantae; Streptophyta; Magnoliopsida; Fabales; Fabaceae
Exons: 3
Source: RefSeq, a predicted model, not a curated record
CGGAUGAAGGAUUGGAUAACGGGUAAACACUGUCCUCAGCCCCAAAAUUACAAGAAUGAAAUUCCCAAAAUCCCCAGAUUCUCAAUUUCAGAGAACCCUAAAUCCCAAUUCGCGAAAACAUAACUCCAAUUCGCGCUUCCCAUAUACGGAAAAGAAAUCAAAAGUGACCACCCCAAAUCUCGAGCCAAAACGCGUUCUCCCUUUGUCGUGAAAACGCUGGAGAGGAAACCCUUUCGCCACGAAGACAUCGACGCUAUGGCACCCACUGCCACAAAGAGAUCGCUACACUUGAACCACCGGAAGCUCGCCGCAAAGACGCUAAAGCACUGAGUGUCGCGAAAAAAGUGCCGUAGAGAAGCCACUGCUUUGACGCCCAUUGGUCGCGAAGAUGGUUGUCGCCUCUUUCGCACUCCCCUUCCCUUCAACCAGAAAAGCACCAUAAACAAGAGGAAGAAGAGUGCCUUUCCCUAUCUAUCAAGUCGCAUUUUGGUACUCCAACUAUUUCCUGUUGAAAGAGCUUUUUUAGGAAGUAAAUGAGAUGUGGGCAGGUUUGGGCUACUACCGAAGAGCUCGUUUUCUUCUAGAGGUGCUUCCUCAUGACAAUUGACUUGUGUGUUCAUCUCCUUCUCCUGUUUAUCUUUUACUAGAUCCUACAAGUUACCCUAAUGGUCAAUUUGAGAUUGUUUUUGAAAUAGUUAAUUAUGGUGUUAAACCUUCUUCAUUAUCUUGUUUCUGCCUUCUUAAUAAAAGCAGCAAAAGGCAAGGCAUUGAAUGCGUGCAUCAAAAUCUCAUAGUUCAUGAACUGGAUAUUGCAAACAUAGAGUAUCUGAAGCUUUUCAUGUCAACAACACAUCGGAGUGGAUUGCAUUCUCUGAGAGGAUUGGACGAUCAAAAGAAAGCAGAGUAAGGAAGGACGACCGACCCUCGGACAAAUUCAACCGAAACAUUUUGGCACCCAUCCUGGAACCGAGCGGCAUCCCCAUGAAAUCACGAGUAACCAGACGUGCGUUCAGUCUCGAUAUCGCUACUUCGGAUACUAGGUUUUGCAACAAGAGCAAAAAAUUCCAUAAUAAUUUCUAAAGACAUGUCUUUGUUUUGAGAACUUUCAGGAAGGUUCAAUCGCUUGGUCGGUUAGCCCAUCAAAGUUGAACCUUGUCAAGUUCUAAUA